RNAcentral lists this microRNA precursor (52 nucleotides) under Nomascus leucogenys (northern white-cheeked gibbon). RNAcentral's name for it is "mir-1302 microRNA precursor family". It matches the Rfam family "mir-1302 microRNA precursor family". Lineage: Eukaryota; Metazoa; Chordata; Mammalia; Primates; Hylobatidae. The record is from Rfam by way of RNAcentral.
UUUUAAGUAUAAAUAUGUCCCAUGCAAUAGUUGGGGCAUACUCAUGCUAAAA